UUUGAUCCUGCCAGUAGUCAUAUGCUUCGUUCAAGGAUUAAGCCAUGCAUGUCUCAGCGCAMACGGAACAAGAGUUGGUCUGUGAAUGGCUCCUUACAUCAGCAGUCAUCUAUGUGAUAGAGUGUGCUUGGCCAAGCUGCAUGGCCCAAUGGACAUCCACAAUAACCUUGUGGCUAAUACACGCAAGCAGAUGUCUGCCACAUCAUGUGGGGUUAGCAGUGCUCUCCUCACAGUGGUGGACUGCACACAGCUCCUGAAAGACCAGCGCCAUUCCAAUGGCAGUGUUGACUUGGUGAAUCAGGCUGUUCCAAAGGGACAUUGCACUGGCAGCUAAGAAGCCUGUUUACAGGCAUGCUUGAUCACAUGAACUUCUGACCUAUCAGCUUUGACUGUGGUGCAGUGGACCACAGUGGCCUUGACGGGUAACGGAGAAUCAGGGUUCGAUUCCGGAGAGGGAGCCUGAGAGACGGCUACCACUACCAAGGUGGGCAGCAGGCGCGCAAAUUGCCCAAUACAAAGCCAGCUUGUGAGGCAGCAACGAACUGCAGCAAUCAUGCCCACUCAUGUGGGUUUGACUUGGAAUGGAUGCUAUCCAAACACAGCCAUGAGCAACAAGUGGAGGGCAAGUCUGGUGCCAGCAGCUGCGGUAAUUCCAGCUCCAUUGGCGUAUACUAACAUUGCUGCUGUUAAAACACUCGUAGUCUGCCACAGGGAUUCAGGUCUGGCAGAUGGCUGGCUGGUGGUGACUUGUUCAUAGCCAGCUGGGCAAAACCUCUGUCAGUAUGUUCCUGAUCCCACUACUGGAUGCUGAAGCACUCCUGCAUGAAGCCCUCUUCAGUGAGGGUCAAAGCUAUCUUGCAGUGAACGCAUGUCUUCUGGGCAGUCAAGGGCAGGCCUUGUGCCUUUGCUACCACAGCCUUGGCCCAUAAUCGGAGUUCAGCAUCAGAGCAACCCUGGUAAACUCAGUGUGCUUCAAGCAACCUUUCUUAUGGCUUGCAUGCCAUCCAGUGAAUUGCAAAGCAACGAUCGAGCUUGGCUGAGAGUUGUGCUGGCCUUGGUGCCAACUUCGAGCAAUGUGGGAUGCAUCCCUGGCUGUGGUCCUGCCUUCGGGCUUGUCCCACUGUCCAGGUGGUGUGUCACCAAACGGACAUGAUGGAAGUGUUCAGAGUGGAAGGUAUUGCAGCGCCAGAGGUGAAAUUCUUAGACCGCUGCAAGACCAACUGCAGCGAAGGCGUUCUGCAAGAGCACGUUCGUCGAUCAAGAAUGAGAGUGUGGGGAGCAAAGAUGAUCAGACACCGUCGUAGUCCACUACAGUAAACCAUGCCAGCAAGGCUUUGGUGAAGCAAGAUCAUGUACUCCAUCAGUGCCAUGCCCCCUACAAAGAGAAAUCCACAGCCUGUGGGUUCAGGGGGGAGUACUGUCGCAAGGCAGAAACUUAAAGGAAUUGACGGAAUGGCACCACAAGGCGUGGAAUAUGCGGCUUAAUUUGACUCAACACGGGGAAUGUUACCAGGUCAGGACACUGUCAGGAUGGACAGAUUGAGAGCUCUUUCUUGAUCCAGUGGAUGGUGGUGCAUGGCCGCUCCUGAUCGGUGGAGUGAUUUGUCUGGUUGAUUCCGAUAACGGGUGAGAUAUCUGCCUUCCAAUAGCCCCAGUCACGCAUCUGUAGGGAUGCCUUCAGGUGAAGCCUCGGUGGAUCCUGUUGGUGCCUGAGUGACAUGGGUUCAGCUUCUCUGAGGUGCUGUGUCAGCCACCAAUGGCACGCAUGCUAGAGCCAACAGCAGGUCUGUGAUGCUCCCAGAUGUCCUGGGCCGCACGCGCAUUACAUUGACACAGUGAAGGUGUUAAGCUUCCUUGUGAAGCCCAUCUCAGAAGUGAGUUGGAAACCAUCCAAAUCUGUGCUGUACUGGGGAUAGAUGAUUGCAACUAUCUGCCUUGAACGAGGAAUGCCUAGUAUGCUUGUGUCAUCAGCACAAACAGAUUGUGUCCCUGCCAUUUGUACACACCGCCCGUCGUUGCUACCGAUGAGGGCAGGGCAGAGUCAUCAGGAGAUAGCAACUCCCUUGUGGACUGCCAUUGAAAUUGGGCAAUGCCCUGCCCUUAGAGGAAGCAAAAGUCGUAACAAGGUUGUUGUAGGUGAACCUGCAGAAGGAUCAACGGU
This 2161-nucleotide ribosomal RNA is filed under the name Trachelomonas pertyi. RNAcentral describes it as "bacterial SSU rRNA". It matches the Rfam family "Eukaryotic small subunit ribosomal RNA". Lineage: Eukaryota; Euglenozoa; Euglenophyceae; Euglenales; Euglenaceae. The record is from RNAcentral.